This 444-nucleotide ribosomal RNA is filed under the name uncultured bacterium. RNAcentral describes it as "bacterial SSU rRNA". It matches the Rfam family "Bacterial small subunit ribosomal RNA", at positions 331 to 792 of the family's 1533-position model. The record is from RNAcentral.
CCAGACUCCUACGGGAGGCAGCAGUGGGGAAUAUUGCACAAUGGGGGAAACCCUGAUGCAGCGACGCCGCGUGAAGGGCGAAGUAUUUCGGUACGUAAACUUCUAUCAGCAGGGAAGAAAAUGACGGUACCUGACCAAGAAGCCCCGGCUAACUACGUGCCAGCAGCCGCGGUAAUACGUAGGGGGCAAGCGUUAUCCGGAUUUACUGGGUGUAAAGGGAGCGUAGACGGCCGUGCAAGUCUGAUGUGAAAACCCGGGGCUCAACCCCGGGACUGCAUUGGAAACUGCAUGGCUGGAGUGUCGGAGAGGCAAGUGGAAUUCCUAGUGUAGCGGUGAAAUGCGUAGAUAUUAGGAGGAACACCAGUGGCGAAGGCGGCUUGCUGGACGACGACUGACGUUGAGGCUCGAAAGCGUGGGGAGCAAACAGGAUUAGAUACCCUUGUA